Long non-coding RNA from Lathyrus oleraceus (garden pea), 1259 nucleotides. RefSeq lists it as uncharacterized. Lineage: Eukaryota; Viridiplantae; Streptophyta; Magnoliopsida; Fabales; Fabaceae. The transcript has 2 exons. The record is from RefSeq and is a predicted model, not a curated record.
AAAAAAGGAUUUGAUUCCAUUCUCUCACUGCCACGUGUCCCUUAAACCUCUCCACAUUUAUUCCUAACGUCUCUCACACUGAAGGACAAAAAAUCCAUAAAAAAUAAAAAAUUCCUUACAAAUCCUUAUAUCUCUCUCUCACGAAUCCACUCAAAGGGAGACACCUCACCCUUAUCUUCUCUCACUCGGACUCCCUCACAGAAAACACAGACAAUUCACUCAUUCUCAAAAAAUUGCCUCUCUCAGUAUCCCUCUCACUCUCUAAAGAAACAGAAAAAACCUUUCUUCUUCCUUCCGCCGCCACCCUUCAUUCCUCACUAUCAGUUCCCCAUCUUCAAAAACCCUUCCUCUCCAAUCAUCUCCCUUCAUCCACCCGCAACAACCCAUCCGUCACCAUAGAACCUCCACCACAACCUCACCAUCAACAUCCGCCACCGUAAACCAGCAUCUUCGCCAUCUUAACCGCUUCUCUACCCUCGCGAAUCCACCGCUCGCAACCCAUCCAAAACCCUUUCCGCCGUCAAAAAACGCGAAGCCCUUCAUCUUCUUCAAACUCAACCGUCAAAACCCCACCACCAGCAAAUAAACCUACCGCGCGUCACCACCAACAUCUCAAAGACCGACCACACCACUACCGCCGCUCACCUUCCUCAACAACCUUCACUCCGCCGCUGAAACCCACAAAACAACCUUCAUUGUUCCUCGCCGGUUUUAUCCUCUUUUGUUAACCUCGCAUCCGAGAUACCGCCAUCGUGUCGGUAACUUCGACUCAACAGAAGCUGAAGUUUCUGAUUUACUUACUGAUAUUUGGCUUCGAGUUUACUGCAGAAUUCUUCCAAACAACAAAUCAAAGUCCGCAUUUCUAUAAUUUCCAAGCCGUGUCCAAGGUCGGUUCUCACCAUUUCCGACGAUAGCAAAGGUUGACGCAGAUCUCGCCUUCGCCAUUCUCUAUCCGCAUUAAUCCUGGGAAUGUUAGCAUUAAUCCUGUUUCAAGGCGGAUUCGGUUUCCAUGGCAGCACACUCCGGUAUUGUUUGGCCGAAGGAUACUUCUAGGAAUAUCUUAGUUUCUUCAUAGAAGUUGAAAAAAUCAAAGAAUUAUUAUUUUUUUUAUUUUAUUUAUUUAUUUUUAGUAUGUGAAAUUUCGUAACUGAUGGUGAAGUGGUGUGUACGUUGAGUUUUGCUAUGGCAUUCAUGUACCUUGGGUUCCUUUAUUCAUCAUAGGUUGUUAUUACAUUGUUUGAUUAAUAGUUUUCAUAAUA